GGGGAGGGAGGUGUACAAGUUGGGUUGUGGGGCCACCCAGUGUGGGCUCAGGAAGGGAAGGAAUGUGACCGAGGCCGGGUGUGGCUGAGGAGAGCACAGCCAGUUGUGGGUUUUUCUUGGGGCCCAGAUAGACGUGAGCAAAGAUGGAGGGGCCCUCUCUCGCAGCCCCCACCACACACACUAGGACCUUUCUUCG
Panthera pardus (leopard) is the source of this 196-nucleotide unclassified non-coding RNA. Lineage: Eukaryota; Metazoa; Chordata; Mammalia; Carnivora; Felidae. The record is from Ensembl.